GCUAACGUAGCUUAAUUAAAGCAUAACACUGAAGAUGUUAAGAUGGGCCCUAGAAAGCCCCGGGGGCAC
RNAcentral lists this transfer RNA (69 nucleotides) under Platichthys flesus (European flounder). Its description in RNAcentral is "tRNA-Phe". It matches the Rfam family "tRNA". Rfam says of the family: Transfer RNA (tRNA) molecules are approximately 80 nucleotides in length. Their secondary structure includes four short double-helical elements and three loops (D, anti-codon, and T loops). The record is from RNAcentral. Lineage: Eukaryota; Metazoa; Chordata; Actinopteri; Pleuronectiformes; Pleuronectidae.